Molecule: long non-coding RNA, 9195 nt
Filed under: Gallus gallus (chicken)
Lineage: Eukaryota; Metazoa; Chordata; Aves; Galliformes; Phasianidae
Source: RNAcentral
GGAGAAGGCGGCCGGCGUCCGCUCCUGGCCCGGCGCUGCGGUGUGGGGUGCUGGGAGCGGAGCUGCUCCGGGAUCUUUCCACGUGCGAGCGAUUCGCUUUCAGGUGAGGCAGGGUGGAACCACACGGGAAUCGUUCUAAUUUCUGCAACGAAAGCCUUGUUUUAAGACGUGUGGAAUUCCUCAAAAGACGGACAGAGGGAUUUUAGGACACAGGUAACUGCAGGGGACGGGAAAUAUAAAGAACAUGGAAAGGCUUCCGGAUCUGCAGGCGGGCGCGAAAGUACCCGGUAAAUGCUGCUGCGUGUUUGGGCUUUUGUUUGUUUGUUUUUCCUCUCCAGUCUUUGCCGUUCAUUAUUGUUAACUGGAGAAACAGUAGGAAAAGCUGUUAGCAGAUGUUGUCUGCUAACAGACAGAAGAGGGAGCUCUUGCCGCGCCUACCCUGGGAAGUGCCCGUCCCUGCGGCUGCUGUACGGAAGCCCUCCUUCGGCAGAGCAGUUCCAGGGAAGGGGCGUGGAACGAAAGCGGUCUCUACUCUUACUUUGCUUGGAGGUGACUGACAGGGCCUUACUUGCCAAAUUCAUGCUGAUGCGGCUCCAUGCUCAGCGGAGGAUGAAGUCAGUGAAAAUGUAAAAAUGUUGCCUGAAGCAAAUAAUGGUGUCUUAUUAAAAACCAAACUCCAGGCAAGCCCUCAGACUCAGAGAACCCACCCUUUUUCCCUCAACAUCCUUGCGUGAGCGUAUGCUAUUGAGUUGGUGGGACAGCUGAUUGAGAGGGAUGAAGUAAAAAUAGGUGUUCAAACACUUGUAAAUUGGAAUCCAGCAAACUGUUACAGAGCUGUUGCACAGUUUGACAGGACUGAAAUGGUCCUGAAGUCAUUUGUACCAAUCCAAAAGCCAACUACUGGCUUUUAAAAAAGAGCCAGAACUUUCCUAGUGGACUCAGGGCCUGCCCUACCUACCACAUCAUUCUGCUUUUGGGUAACUUUCUGAAUCACUGCAUGGCCAAACUGCCUGUGACUGCACAGCACAGGAUCAGGCCCCUGUAAGGGUGUGUUUUUUUUCUUUGUGUCACUGUUUUGUGCUUGUGUCUGUUGGUGCAGGAAGCUUCUGCUCGAGUAGUUGAGUGAUUUAAACAAAUCUCACGAUCGUGUUCAGUCCAUCAGUUAACACACGGUCUGAAGUUCUGUUUCUCAGUAAGCCUAAAGGAUCAUCAGCCCAGCAAAGCGGCAUCCUGAGGGUUUCUAAUGACCUACCCCCCAGUAUGAUGGAACUGCUUUUACAUUCUCUGGUUGCUGUCCUUUCUGUAACGUUCACAUAUUGCCAGUGCAGUUGUUUUCCAACCACUGCUUUCAGUAUGGUUGUCCAUUUAAAAUAAACAGUUACUACUGAAAUGUGGUGUGCAAUGUGGGGAGAGGGAAAAGAAAUAGCAACAACAAAAGGACAGAUGCUUGAAUUUCCCUGCAGUAAACAUGGUUUUAUUAGAUAAUUUUGCUGUGGACUUACAUGACUGCAAAACUCUUUUGUACAGACUUCUGUAAAAUUGUAGUAUUUGUAGAGAGCUGAACGUUUUCAAACUACAUUAUUUCAUGAUUUAUACUAAUAGUUGCUAAGGCACAUGGCUGCUAUAGUAAAAAUGGACUAGUGUUCAUUUCUGCAUGGAUGGUAACAAGUGUUUAGUUUGCUGAGCUUCAGAUAUUAUACCGUGAAAUGAGACUCCUUGACACAUGGUGGCUAAUCCAGUCGUAAUAGCUGGCUACUUGUGUGUAGACGCCGGGGUGACCGGCCUCCCCACAGUUUUCACCCCAACUCACAACACCCCAGACAUAAGCCACAUUUUCUGCAUCAAAGCAAACCAGGGGACCUCCUGAAUCACCUUUGCAGCUGUCAAUGGAGCCAUCGUAAGUACCUGCGGCAAAAGAGGGUGGGGGAACAACAACAACUCAAAAGUAAGUUUAUAUGCAAGCUAGCACACAAAGUAGAGCUCAGGAGGCUUUUUAGAUCCAUGUCACUUCCUGACAGGUGUCUGCCUAGCAGUCACUACUACUGGAAGUUCCCAGUCUCUUUGGUCUACUAUUUCUUAAUUAUUUUGAAGUGCAGCCCCCCCUCUUUACAAUUUUGGCUGGCCCAAAAGCUCAUUUGCUUUCACGUCAGGAAUGUGAUUCUUCUUGUGACAGAGAAGAAUUCAGACAUAUUGUAUAUUAUAUCAUUAGAAGUAGCUUAUAAAAAGGGGACAGAAGGUAGAAGAAAAGGGUAAGAAGAUUAGUGGACCGAUCCCUCUGGAAAUUAAGCUAUUAUAAUAUGCAUGUUCCUCUACAUCUGCUAUUGAUGUUCUCUCUACCUAGUAGUACAUUGGCCAAUUUGAUCUGAGCUACGCAGAAGUAGAAACCUCAAAAUUAAUUUCUCUGCAGGCUUUAUGGCAAAAGGUGGGCAGAUCCAAGGAUAGUACAUGAAUGAUGGGAUACAAGAGAGUGUAACUGUCUUUAACUGAGCCCUUGCAGAUAUGGCACUUGAAGUGUGGACCUUCUGGAGCACCAGGUGACAGCUCUGAGACAUAAACAUAUGGGCUGUGGUGCUCUCUACAAGUUUCUGGGGUUUUGAAGCUACUUGUUUCCAACUUAGCAAAUGUAGUGGUUGUAAUAAAUAAAUAAAGAUGAAAGAAUAUGAUAUAGGCAAAAACUUGCUAGAGAGUUGGAAUACAAUUUAUCCUUUGUCCCACAGACUCAGUAGAAGUGUGUAAAGACAUCUUUAUGUCCUUCUUUAUACUCGGUUGAUCCACCUAGUUUGAAGGAACCCAUACUAAGCAAGGCUCCCCACGUUUUUAAACAUGUAACCUCUUUCUUGAGUCUCUACAUCACUGAGAAAGAGUUCUGUGAAUGUUUCAGGAUUGGAAAGACCAAUUCUAUAAAACUAGAUUUUGUUCCCCAUACUCAGUUGAAUUAACGUUACCUUCUAUCAGUAGUUCCAGCAGAUACCAGUCCUUAAUUCCAAAAUUUGUAUCUGCAUUCACGUUGUACUGAAUUUAUUCACAAAUGGUUAAGUUUUUAUAUCCAGUUUUAAUUUGUCUUGUUAUGUACUUUGUUUAAAUACUGCCUUCACUUCAGAGUUAAAGAACAGUUGAAACUAUCUGUCCUGUAAGUUGAAAACUCAUUGCUCUUUAAGACAUGUGUUUGGCAAUACCUUUUGUUACUUGAAAAGCAAAAAUGUGUACUCAAAAUGCUUAUUUUAGUAUUAGGAAUGACAACCAGUUUCCUGGCCAGACUAAUCUUUGUUUGAAAAGUUUAUAGUAUUUUUCCUGGGGUGUGGUUUAGUGGUAGAAAAUAUCUCAGCAGAUGAAUAGUCACAUGCUAGUCAAUAGGACUGUGAAUGUGCUCCAAAAAAGGCAUUUGCUUUAAUAUGUUCCUGAAGCAGAAUGAAAUAGAGGUAGGAGGAAGUUCAGUGGGCUGUAAUCUGCUUGUGUGUUUAGAAAACAUGACUCCAACUGUGUGCUGAAAUUUGCUUACAGUCACUGAAACUUGGCAUUCUGUCACCAUAACUGUUUAUAAUUAGAUAGAUAACAACAGAUGACUGUAGACUCCAGUGGCUAGUGCUUUGCUAAUGACAAUGCCGUUGCAUUUGGUUUCUUGCAUUUUCCAAGUCUAAAAGAUUCCCAGCCUGUAUGUCAGUCCUUAGCAACGGUGGGCAUGAUGGUAAAGUUAUAGUAAGAAAAUUCAUACUUGCCUGCACAUGCCAUUUUUUGAAAGAAUCGUCCUGGAUACAUUUCAGAACAAUUCUGAAAUAAAUUAACAUUUCCCCAUUUGAGCACAUAUUGUUUGGUAUAACCUAGAAAAGAAAAUGAUAAACUUUUCUAAAUUUAAACUGAUAAAUGUGUAUGAAACACUUUUAAUAUCAUAAUAUGAAAGUUAUAGAUUUGCUAAUCUACUGAAUUUAAUCUUAGAUAUUAUAAACCAGGUACCUUAAACUGCUGCUAACACUUGCCCCACAUCCACUGCCCAUAUGUUUCAAAAUCAAAGCAGAGUGGUUAAAUUGCAGUAUUAAAUGCAGUAGUUUCAUUUUUUUGUAAUUUUUACUCCUUCCCUUUGUUACUUUCUUCAAUUUUUUCCAUGUUUUCCAUAUCAGGGUUUCCAGACACUGGGAGACCAGUAUAUUGUUUUCUGUGAAAUGGAGAAACGCCUCUGAUCAUCCUUGUUACUUCUUUCUCAGAAAGAUGAGAGGACUGGAACUUGCAGAUACAGUCCCCAUCCAGAAACCUUGCAUUUAUCGCCAGCCUUGAACAUAUGCUCUGACCAGGGGACGCAGGCAGGUGUGCUGUAUUUCAAGGAGCACUCUCCUUUUCCAUGACCUUUCAGCUCCAGCAGAGCGAUGUCAUUUUCAUAAGUUGCAGCAUCAUACUUCUCAUGGAUUAUCAGUUGCUUUAGUCUGUAAGUGUCUGUCUCUCUGUCAUACUGUAUUGUAUCCAACAGCCCAAUCCAGACACGGUAUUGAUGAACUCGAGUUGCUCUGGAAAAGGAGCCAAUGAAAUAUGUUUUGGUACCUCACACAAGCACUGUAUGUUUCAAUUACUCAUAAAUUUUUGCAUUUUAUCAAAGUUUAUGUGGAAUAAAUAUUCAUAUUAUACACGUAUAGUUUCUUUCUGGACUUGUAUGUCGCAGUUGUUCUGAAGGAGGUAGAAGGCUGGUGACACUUAUUGCUGAGUCCUGAAGCUAAUACAGAAAGACAGUACUAAAGGCCAGUGUGUUUAGUGCCCUCACAAAGAGAAAGCAAAGCUUAUGUCUCUGAUAUCAGAUGAAAGAAGAAUGGGCAAAUACACAUGGAACACUGGGCUCGGCAGGUCUUUCCUGCCCACUCCUGCUGGCUCUGGGGAAUAGGUGGCACCAGGGACAUUCUUGGGGGACAGGCACUAGACCUCCCCAGUGCUGAGAGGAGGUAAUUCGUAAUUACUUUUUUGCUCACUGACAAAAUGCUUUGUCUUUGAAUCCCUCCCACUGUUAAUGUGAGCAAAUCAGUGAUUUUAGUUGUGUUAUUGAAUGGGCAAGUAAGAAUUAGCAACCAAGUAGCCGAGAAGAGCAAUAAUGCACAGAUUCAUCUUUUCUACUUUGCAAAGAAAUCAUUUCUCAGGUUGUUGCUUUUACCUGACACAGUGUGCAGCAGUCAGAACCCAACAGCCACCAAUAUAAACCCCUCCACAGUACACUGUUGCACCUUCAGUGCCAGUGUCUUUAAUUGCCACUUGCCAAGGGAAUUCACCCUAUUAAAAUGACAGAAACCCAAAUAAUAUGAAAUCAUCAUUGUGCUAUUUUUUGUGCAUAAAGGGAAACACAAUAUCACUUCAUCUCCUUGACUUAAUCUGCUAUUAAGAAGUUGUCUGUAAUCUGGGCUCUGACAUAAAAGCUCUGUAUUCUAAACUACAGUAACGUUGUUGUCUUCUGACAUUAUGCAGUGUCUCCCUCCCCGCAGCUUUCUGUCAGGAAACUCCUAAAAAAACCAGAUGGAGGAUCUGACCUGGUAUGAUCAAACGUUACAUUUAUGACUAUAAUUAUCAUACAUAGCUAUAGUAUUAAGUAUUUUGCUGGAUUAUUUUCAACACAUACUUGCACUGUAAUGCUGUAUUUUGUAGCUUGGUGUUUUACCUUAUGAACUGUGCUUCUAUUUAUAUUCAUUCAGUGCAUUGUCACUACUAAUGUAAAACAUGAAAUUAAUGUAACUGAUUUUGUUAUUUCCGUACAUUUUAACAGAAGGACAAUAAUAACCAUUUAAAUUGUUACUGAAUGAACACAUGAGCCUAUAUUUGUAAGGUCUGGUUGUGUCUGUGUGUGGGGGGUUAUUAUUAUUUUUUACCUUUCUUGCAGUCUGUCCACCUAUGAUUCUUUUCCGUCGAGUUAAUGUGUGAUUUACAACACCGCAGUUUAUUUGGGGAAGGAAUGUCUUUGCCAGUUUUCUUUCUUUAACAAAAAGGAAGAAUGUGUCUCAGAAUUCAAGUAUUCAUUCUCUCUAUUUGGAGACAGACUUAUCUUUACCUUGAAAUCAUGAGUGCUGUGAGUAUGCAAGUGGCUGAAGUAGCAGGAAAGCAAAAGACCCAGAAUUGUUACAUCUAUUUUUGCUUUGAAAAUUACUUCUGUCUUAGCAUCACAAUAUUUCUGUUUAUUUUUCAUUACUGACAGCAUUCAGGUGAAUAAUUUCAAAGCAGUCGCCGUAGACUUGCUUAGAGUUUACCUCUAUCCGUUGCUAAUAUGUACAGAUGUGGAUCCUGAGGCAGGAUUAAUUAUUAUUGUGGUUGAGAUUAGUGGAAAGCUAGUCAAAUAGUUAAGCCCCAGAGUGUGUACUACUAAGCCACAAAGUCCAUGUAUCUGAGUGUUGCGAAUCUGGCCAACUGGCUGGUAGUUAGAAAGCCACUAAAAAGAGGGUAUACGGUGGUUUGUGGGCCGUUACUUACCUGCAUCCAUACUGUGAUUUUCCUCAUGUUUUGGUUUGCCUGUAGUGGAAUAAUAGAAUACUAAGAACAUUUACAAAUAUUUAUAUUGUUCUGUUACUUGAAUAUUUGGUUGUGUACCAAAAUUAUGGUACAUUUUCAACUGGAUAGGUGCAUAACAUUUCGCAUAGACAGAAAUACUCUGUAAGCAUUGUGCCUGCUGUUUUCUUUUUCCUAGGCACUCAUUGCUGCCAUAGCUUACAAAUGACUGGCAUCCAGCAGAUAUUGAUUUACAACUACAUGAUAUCUAGUCUUCUUUUCUUGUCCAGAGGACCAUUCUGCAAAGAAACCCUGUGAAAUGGCCUCCUUUGUUUUUUGUUUUUUUUUUUAAGUCUCUAAAGCGAUAGACUGCUCUCCUCUACCAGGAAACACCAGAAAUUCCCCCUCCUGCCCCGUCAAUCUUUUGGAGCUUUCUAAAGCCCAAAGGAGCAUUAGGUAAGAAGAUCAUUCCCCUGGUGUGAUUUUCACUCUUCCUGGUCACCCACAAGCUAUACUCUUCAAAAAUCAGCUGAAGUGCACAACAGAUGAUAAACAUUUCAAGCCAGUGGUUUAUAGCACACCACAACAAUGGAACUGUGAGCAAAUUAAAAUAUAAGGGGACUUCACAGAAUCACACAGAAUGGCCUGGGUUGGAAGGGACUUCAAGGAUCAUGAAUCUCCAACCCACCCCCCUGCCCCCCCGGCACUGGCAGGGCCACCAACCUCUACAUUUAAUACUAGAGCAGGCUGCCAAGAGCCCCGUCCAGCCUAGCCUUGAACACCUCCACGGAUGGGGGAUCCACAACCUCUCUGGGCAGCCUGUUCCAGCACCUUACCACUCUCACAGUAAAGAACUUGCCCCUGACAUCCAACCUAAAUCUUCCCUCCUUCAACUUAAAACCAUUUCCCCUUGUCCUGCUAUUAUCUCCCCUUUCAAAGAAUUGACUCCCCUAACUUGGCUUAAACACCAGAAAAAUGAAAUUAAAAAAAAAAGAGUAGCAACUUGAUUUUUUUUCAAGACCUUUUUAUUGUCCCAGUUGACCCAGUUGACAUAACUAUAGCCAAUAACUACUUAGAAACAAAUAAAUCUAAAAUUGAAGAUGUGUUUCAUUGCAAGUAACAAGUAUUAAGUAUCUUCAACAAAUGUGAAAAUUAAGUGCCCUUCCCAGUCUGUUUUGUUCCCAUAUCUUGGAUGGCAGUGGGUUUGCAGUGUGGUUUCUGGUUGUUGUGGACUGCAAGGAGUGCUCCUUAUCCCUCCAUCUGACCAUCUGUCUCUAGGUGAGUGAUAACACCUAUCCUGGCAGCUCUCUGGUUAUUCCAUUGCUGGCUGAGUGCUUUUGCUCACUAAGAUGUGUGUGCAGGGGGAAUGUUGAAAUGUGAAAAAUAUGUAGCUAGACUUUGCAUAAAGAUGAGAAAGAAAUGUCAGUUGUCAGAUCGGAUUUAUCGGCUUUGAGUGCAUCCACUGAAUCAACAGAGCCAAAGUUUAAAGUUCUCGUGAAGAAAUCCUGGCCUAAGUAAAGGCAGUGGGAAUGUCGCCAGGGCUGAAUUUAUUCCGAGCCCCUCCCACCCUUUUAAGGGCUGUAUAAUCUUAAUAAAUUCUUCCUGUUCUUCUCAGGUCAGUAGAAUCCUAUGCAUUAUCUUUAGAUUUACAUACCAAACUCUGAGCCAGGCCCGGCUUGGCAUAACUCCUGUAUUGCACUAGAUGUUUCUCUUUAGCUCUGACAGAAUAGCAACAAAAGGGGCUGAUCUUUACCUACGGGUUUUUCUUGGAAAGCUCAGGCUAUGCUGAACAUGGAGCCCAUCAGGACUCCUUGAGAGGCUUUUGCCAGAAGAGAUUUUACAACAAAAGCUUUCUGAGCUGAGCCACACUUGCAGGUUGGGUUUAGCAUAGCAUCCCGAUUAAAAGAUUUUCCAAAAGGCUGUUAAUGUAAACCUCAGAUAGAACCGAUAUACAGAGGAGAAACAGCAAGAUUCACAUUUUCAAGCUGGACUAAAACAAAUGUACGAAAUGCAGAUGCUGCAAAAGGAAAUUAAAAAAGACUUUGUUUUUAUAAUAAUAAAUUGUUUUAACUGUUUGCUGUUGGUUGGUUUGUUUUUAAAAUAAGGGGAUACCACAAUAAAAUAAGUUCUUACCUGUGCUCGACAGAAAGAAAAGAGAGAGAAGCAAACCAAGAGAACUGCAACCACUCUCAUGAUGAGGUUUUAUGUCUUUGUAGAGAAAUUCCCCUGGCCGGGACUUUCCCAAUUGCCAGUCGUUAGGUUUGUGUUUAAUUUUUAACCUUUGGUAAAACACUCUGAAGUGGACUCAGAAACAACUACGGGAGCCUUAGAUAUCAACGGAUGAGUCUGCUCUCUCCACACGGAUCCCACCCCAUUUAACCUGUUUUACUGUAAAUAGAGACCAAAGGGAAGCCCUUGAAGCCAACGGUUACAAGGGAGUGCUCAGCAGGGUCUCUCGCUCCCCGCCUGCUGCCAACGCAGACCGAUGGAGCCGCGGGCCGAUCUCCUGGCAGCAGGCACCCCGCUCUGCAGGGAGCUGUUAGGGCAGGUGCGUUCUUAGGUGAGAUACGUGUGUCUGUAUGCAGGCAGGCAAACGGAACGGAUCAACUCCACUAUCUCCGUGCGAGAGCGUAACCGGCGGAGCCUUGCUCAGAGAACUGUUGGGGCAGUGGCCAAUCCACUGCAUCCCACCUGCGGGCGGUUUCCGGGAGAACCGCGGUCUCGGCCGGCACAACGGAACGGCUCCUGCGA